AAGAGUCCAAAUUACAGGGACCUUCCUCACCUGAGAGGCAGAGAGUUAGGAAUGAGAAUUCAAGAUCCAGCAAGAAGCAUCCAGAGGAGCCUGUGGAAGCACCACCUGGAAGAGCUCCUCCCUGGUUUCCACCUGCAGCCUCACGUGCCUUUGGGCUUCCUCCUGCCCCUCAGUCUGCAGGAUGUUCAGCACUCUCCCCUCUGGGUUUGGCUCCCCCACGGAUUCCUCCUGGAUCCUGGAAGGGGUGAUCAGCUGUGAAGGAAAAGGACCCGACUGGAGCAGAAUACAGUUUGAAGAGUCUCCCACAUGUUGCUAAAUCCUGGGAGCCUCCCUUCAGGAUCAGUGGUUGCUCAGAUGCUUCGCUGGCCAGGGCUGGCAGUGCUCUGGUGGGCAGAGCAGCUCUCAGGUGGCCUCCUUGGCUCUCGUUUGCCUCAGGUUGUCUUCACUUCUCAGAGCUGUCUUUCCUCCUCAGCUCCUCUUCUUCCUCUCUUACUCUUACACUCAACAAUGGGUGUUGCUCUU
Pipra filicauda (Wire-tailed manakin) is the source of this 522-nucleotide long non-coding RNA. RefSeq lists it as uncharacterized. Lineage: Eukaryota; Metazoa; Chordata; Aves; Passeriformes; Pipridae. The record is from RefSeq and is a predicted model, not a curated record. The transcript has 3 exons.